This 675-nucleotide ribosomal RNA is filed under the name Chalciporus sp. G069. Its description in RNAcentral is "eukaryotic LSU rRNA". Lineage: Eukaryota; Fungi; Basidiomycota; Agaricomycetes; Boletales; Boletaceae. The record is from RNAcentral.
AAAGGGAGGUAAAGGUUGUCGCUGGUCCUCUUUUUGCGAGGGGGACAUGUUGCACGCCUCCAACUCCUUCUUUCAUGUGGAUCUGAUUCUCUCUCACACCUGUGCACCUAUUGUAGAUUCUUCUCUCCUGCGAGGGAGAGCGAGCAUCUAUGUCUUUCAUACACACUACCGUAUGUCUAUAGAAUGUCUUGCAAUGUUGGGCUGGCUAUGCCUUGCCAUGGUCGGUGCAAUAAAAAUACUAUGAAACAACUUUCAGCAACGGAUCUCUUGGCUCUCGCAUCGAUGAAGAACGCAGCGAAUUGYGAUAAGUAAUGUGAAUUGCAGAUUUUCCGUGAAUCAUCGAAUCUUUGAACGCACCUUGCGCUCCUUGGUAUUCCGAGGAGCAUGCCUGUUUGAGUGUCAUUGAAUUUCUCAACCAUGCCUUGAUUGACUUUGAGUGCAUGGCUUGGACGGAUGGGGGUUGCUGGCAGCAUGAGCUGUCGGCUCUCCUGAAAUGCAUUAGCAGAGGUGAAGCGCUCUCGUGCACGGCCUUUCGACRUGAUAAUGAUCGUCGUGGCUGGAGCGAGGUGCAAGACAUCCUUGCUUCCAACUCUGAACUUUCCUGCUUGUCAGGAAUUCUUUGAAACUUGACCUCAAAUCAGGUAGGACUACCCGCUGAACUUAAGCAUAUCAUAA